CAGUCGCCACGGGAAUACGAAGGGGGCUAGCGUUGCUCGGAAUGACUGGGCGUAAAGGGCGCAUAGGCGGAUUGUUUAGUUAGGCGUGUAAUUCCUGGGCUUAACCUGGGGACUGCGCUUAAUACAGGCAGUCUAGAGUGAGGAAGAGGGUUGUGGAAUUCCCAGUGUAGAGGUGAAAUGCGUAGAGAUCGGGAGGAACACCAGUGGCGAAGGCGGCCAUCUGGGUCAACACUGACGCUGAGGCACGAAAGCGUGGGGAGCAAACAGGAUUAGAUACCCCAGUAGUCCCUGUCUCUUAUAC
Molecule: ribosomal RNA, 301 nt
Filed under: uncultured bacterium
Lineage: Bacteria
Description: partial 16S ribosomal RNA
Rfam family: Bacterial small subunit ribosomal RNA
Source: RNAcentral